This is a non-coding RNA of Vicugna pacos (alpaca), 2223 nucleotides long. NCBI's taxonomy places the organism in Eukaryota, Metazoa, Chordata, Mammalia, Artiodactyla, Camelidae. The record is from RefSeq and is a predicted model, not a curated record.
GUCCUGGCCCUCUGACCCGCGGUCCCUCUGGCUUCGUCGCCAGGCGCUUCUGCCUCCGCAGGCGCUCCCGACCGGCACAGCUGGACCACGCCCUUCCUGCCUCUGCUCUGUGCCUCGGUUUACCAAAUGUCCGCGCCGUAGCGCUACAUGUGCGCUGUCUGCCGCGCGCCAGGGCAGGUGUGGGGCGAGGACGGGUCCGGAGGCCCGGCGCCAGGUGCACCCAGUAACCGUGUUACUGGUUCCCGCUCUGGGGAGGCUGCGUGCCUGGAGCACAGGCCAGUCCACUGCGGCCGCUCCCAGAGGGCAGGGGCUGUGCAGAGCUCAUCUGGGUACCAUCUGGAUUCGAUGCAUCAGUAAACGGGGUCAGCCUCUAGUGCUGGUGCCGGGUCCCUCGCCAUCCAGGACCCCUCAGAUGCUGCCCAGUCAGCAGUACCUAGACACACCCAGUGUCAGUGGCUGUUUAGUAAGAGCAAAGGUGCUGGGCACUGCUUGCUGUUAUGUGGACUUUAUUAUGGGUUGAAUUAUGUCCCCCAAAAGAGUGUGUUGACAUCCUAGUCUCAAGUACUCAGAAUGUGACCUUAUUUGGAGAUAAGAUCCUUUUACAGAGGCCCCAGGUAAAAAUGAGAUCAUUCGUGUGGGCUCCUAAUCCAGUAUGACUGGUGUCCUUAGAAGCAGAAGGCUACGGUGAAGACAGAGACACAGGAAGAACCACGUGCAACAGUGGAACAGGGGAGUGAUGCUUCUGCAAGCCAAGGAACCCCUGGGACCCCUGGUGCCGGAAGAGAGGCAUGGAACACAUCCUUCCGUAGAGCCUCCAGGUGAAGCAUGGCCCUGUGGACGCCUUGAUGUUGGACUUCUGGCCCCCAGAACUGUGAACUCCCAUACACGACUGUUGUUUCAAGCCUCCAAUCGUGGUACUUCCUUUGGCCGCUCUGGGAAACAAUAUACGUUCCUUCUAAUCUGAUUGGCUAAGGACCCCAGUGAGUGGAGUCAUCCCUUGAAGUUUCAGAGAGGUCACACGCCCGCUGGCAAUUUCAUUGGUCCCAUCCCGAACCCAUGUGUUCUACGCCACUACACUAUGCUAUGGGGCCUCCUGUAUCCCACUUUAUUAAUGGGAAAGAAGUUUUUGCCUUCCCGGGAUGUACGGCUCUUCUUUUGGGAUUUGGCCGAAGUUCAUACGUUGGUAUUUGUGAUUCAUCUGACUCAGCAGGUUAACAUCGUUAAUGAAAGUUUGCUUAGAGGACCUCAGCAAUCUACUCCAUGCAGGACACGUACAAACACCAAGGCCUAGAAUCCACCUGUUCUUAUGAUCUGUUGCUACCAGGACGCAGUCAGAACUGGGGUCCCAGCAGAGCUGAAAAGGGAAAAGAACACAAAAACUGAAUCAAGAUGUUUACAAGUGUGCUAAGAUGUAGCUUUACAGUUAAUAUGUAAAUCCUACUUUCAUUUUUACCUGAGUAGUAUUUUUAACAUGAAUUCCUAAGCUGUUAAUAAAAAGAGACUAGCUAUUGUUAGCAUCUCUGGUUCCCAACCCAGGAAAGAAAGGCUAGCUUGGUGACUGUAUCGGUGGAUUACAUGGCAUUGGGGAGGGUGGGUGAGAGGGAGGGGAGUGUGCAGCAGCCAGAGAGGAUGCAUGGACCUGGCUCAGCUCAGCGGGGCUCCCUGCUGGGGAGGCUGACAGAAGCUGCUGCUGUCUUCACAAGGGGGUCCAGGGUCAAGAGCCAAAUAAGGGUUUUGGAGCCAAGGGGGACAGCACAAAGACCACCACCCCUGCCCAAGGACUGGCCCUGCUGAGGACUGAGACUCGAGGAUGUGGUAUCGCGGACUGUCCCAUGAACAGAACUAAAAUCCGCGCACUCUGCACUUGCUGGCAAUGGGGCCACUGAAGGUUCUGCCUAGAACCAAGCGCAUAGUCUGACUUGGAGUGCAGCAGAGAGGAGGCACGGACAACUGCAGGCCGUGAACUGUGUGCGGGCAUUUCCCCGCCGGCUCGACCGCCACCCUCUCUCUGCCUUGUUUCUGAGCGGCAUCUCUCCUCAUGCACACAGUGGAGUCGCAUCUCCGGGUGUGCCAUUGCCUGAGAAUAAGGCCACUUCAGGUAUAAAAUAUUCCGCCCGCAUCCCCUGGGGCUCCUCGCUGACAUGCAGCAGCAGCUCUGACGUGGAGCCACAGGCCGACAGCCGGCAGAGAGAGGCGUGCAUCUGCAGCAGCGGGCGCCGCGGC